Molecule: small nucleolar RNA, 131 nt
Filed under: Marmota monax (woodchuck)
Lineage: Eukaryota; Metazoa; Chordata; Mammalia; Rodentia; Sciuridae
Source: RNAcentral
AUAAUCAUCAUUUUUACCUGGAAUUUUUUUUUACCUCUCAUAGUGUCUCCUACCAGAACAAACUGUGCUCCCAAACCAUUGCCUGGCCUCUGUGCUUGUAGGCUGUUGGCACUAAAGCAGGUUGCAUGGUG